Molecule: unclassified non-coding RNA, 194 nt
Filed under: fungal sp.
Lineage: Eukaryota; Fungi
Description: partial internal transcribed spacer region
Rfam family: Eukaryotic small subunit ribosomal RNA (bases 1-46)
Source: RNAcentral
AAGUCGUAACAAGGUUUCCGUAGGUGAACCUGCGGAAGGAUCAUUAAUGAUUGACCUUUAACGGUCUUGUCAACAAUCCUAACACCUGUGAACCGUUUUUGGCCUCCGGGCCCGCUUACAUUACAAACAUUGUGUAAAGAACGUCUUGUUAUCUUAACAAAACAAAACUUUCAACAACGGAUCUCUUGGCUCUC